Long non-coding RNA from Oxyura jamaicensis (ruddy duck), 159 nucleotides. RefSeq lists it as uncharacterized. The record is from RefSeq and is a predicted model, not a curated record. Lineage: Eukaryota; Metazoa; Chordata; Aves; Anseriformes; Anatidae. The transcript is spliced from 3 exons.
AUAAAGACAGGUAUUUUUUGGCUCUGUAGCUAUUUCUUAGGUAUUUCUAAUAUACCUAUUUUUUUUUCUUUUCAUUUUUUUCUUCAAAAAUAUGAUUAUAUUAUCUGCUGCCAAUGAAGGAUUUUGAUCAAUGACUUCACUAUGAAUAGAAAUUCUGGA